CGCCAGAGAACUACAAGUGAAAAACUAGAAACUCCAAGGACUUGGCGGUGUCCCACAUCAGCCUAGAGGAGCCUGUCCUAUAAUCGAUACCCCACGUUUUACCUCACCAUCCUUUGCAACACAGCCUAUAUACCGCCGUCGUCAGCCAACCUUAUGAAAGAAAUAAAGUUGGCAAAACAGUUCAACAACUAGUACGUCAGGUCAAGGUGUAGCACAUGAGAUGGCAGAGAUGGGCUACAUUUUUUAUCAUAAAAAACACGAAUGGCACAAUGAAAUAAGUGCCUGAAGGCGGAUUUAGCAGUAAGAUAAACAAGAUAUUUUAUCUAAAACCCGCUCUGGGACG
This 343-nucleotide ribosomal RNA is filed under the name Lankascincus gansi (Gans' tree skink). RNAcentral describes it as "partial small subunit ribosomal RNA". It matches the Rfam family "Bacterial small subunit ribosomal RNA", at positions 870 to 1381 of the family's 1533-position model. Lineage: Eukaryota; Metazoa; Chordata; Lepidosauria; Squamata; Scincidae. The record is from RNAcentral.